CCUCUGUUGCAGCUGCAGCCGAGUACAGAGCCCAUUUAUUCCCAUCAUUUGGAGCUCCCCGUAAUGUUUUUUCCUAUUGCCAUUCAACUGAUAUUCUUUAAAAUAAGAUUUACCAAACAAGUCAAGCUUCACAGGGCUUUGGAAUACAUAUCUUGAAUGUCUGAUGACUUUUAAACCUCAGAUACAACAUUAGGAGCAAACUAUCAAAGACAUCAACUGUCUGACUUCACUCAGCCUCCACCAUUCUGAAGGUGGCUUCAUGGGGGAGGGAAUGAGGAGUGGAGAGACUCUUUCACUCUACUCACCCCACCCACACAGCAGCAGAGAGCUGGACAAUCUUAGGAAGAAGGGGAACUCAGAGUUGGAUCCUUGACCUCAACUCCUGUGUCCUAAGCACCAGGACAGUUAUCUACACAGUUUUAUCCUUGGGACUGGAACAUUUGCUGAAUGUCUGGUGAUGAUGGUGCUGAGCAGGCCACCCAGAAGGACAGGAUUCUUUCCCAGAAGGAAAAGCAGAUGCCUGUCCUCUUAGAAGUCUGCACACUCAGAGACAUCCCUUUUGCCCUUCUGCAGAAUACCCUGUACCUUCUUACUGAGACUGCCUGCCCACUGCACUCCCCAGGAUGCUGAGCUUUACUGGACCCUUCAGGUAGAGCCUGUUUGUAAAUGAAGGCAGAAUGAGAGGGGAAGCCUAACCUGCCCACUGAAGGCCACUGCACCUGCCUCUGUGUCAGCAUUUUGUAAACCGUUGCCCAGCUCAGAUGGACUCCUGUCCCCUGCUUGUGCACUGGCCCUGCGCAUCUAGAACUUGGAUGACCUGCAUUUGGGAACGGAGAUUAUAGUUCUCCCAGUGCACUUCCUGAUGCUCAGCUGCUGCUGCAGAAGUGGACCAUGACAUCAGAGGGUCUGGGUGGGGUGAGCUUGUAGCCUUGGCUGUCUGUGAGGUUAGAAUCCUACCCAUGAGCCUCUGCAUGAGGAAUGGCUCAGGCCACCAGGGCAGACCUUUCCCCCUCACCUCUGCUGCCCCCUGUGAUCUUUCCUGCCAGUGAGAUUGACAGGAGAGUUUCUAUGAAUAAGUGUGGCAUAAAACUUCUGGAUAGUGUUGGCCGUCAGAACUAUUUUUCAUGAUUUUUAUUAAGAGGGCUAGUUAUUUCACAGUAGUUGUUAGGGUUUUAUGAAGUACUCUUUAAAAAUUAUGUUUUUAAUGCCUUAGUUCACUCUUUGGAGCAAAGUUGUAGAUUUACCCAUAAUUGUCAGAAAGUUCUGUCUGGCUUCGCCGUGAUACCUUGGCCAUGUUUUCUAACCUCUUUGAGGCUUAGGACCUUCAUUAGUGAAAUGAAGCUAUUGGAUCAAAACGGCACAGUCUACCUUAGGUAUCCUUUUUUGGCCCACAGACUGCUAUAGUAAUACAUAAUCUCACUAACCCCCUCAGGUUUUUGAAAAUCAUCUCAUUAUCUUAGGUGUUUCAGAAUAAAUAAUUAUACAUUUUAUAUGCUAAGUAGUAUAACCAAAAAUUCUGGUUUCCUCAAGAUAGCCCUGCAUUUUAUAUAUUAUUCUGGCGGUUAUUUGCAGCACCUUUCACUCUCAAACUAUUCUGAUUUAAAUGAAAAUUACAUGGUUACCUUACUUACUUGGUUGUUUAAAUGCAAUCUUAACAACAGUUAUUUAAAGACACAUUUUAACUUUUCCUAAUUUAACAAGUAAUAUGUGCUAUGCAAUUUUUAAAAAUUAAAUAUAUAACUAAAAGCCUAAUUGAGAAACCAGAAAUAUAAAAUAAUAGCUAUCAUGUUUAGCUGGGGACUAAAUGUACAUUAAGUGUACAUGCAGAUAUCAACUUAGCUUCUUGAAACAUCAAAAAACUGCUUAUUUUAUAAGACUGAAUUUCUUGUAUUUUGCUCUUAAAAACAUGAAGUGUUUUAUUUACAUAAUCAUGUUUUUGUUGCUAAAAAAUUAGCUCAAUGAAAGGAUUUAUGUUGUUAUUUGCCAGCUUUUGUUCUCAAAUAAAUCAUUUUCUUAUGGAUAAUUUUAUUCCACUAAA
Manis javanica (Malayan pangolin) is the source of this 2038-nucleotide long non-coding RNA. RefSeq lists it as uncharacterized. The record is from RefSeq and is a predicted model, not a curated record. Lineage: Eukaryota; Metazoa; Chordata; Mammalia; Pholidota; Manidae.